UCAAUUUCAUUUUCAUGCUCGUUAGACAGCAAACAGUGCGUGAAAGACGAGCCCCAUCCCCUGCCAACCCAUGCCAACCCAUGGCAUCCCAUUCCAGUGAGCCGAGAUCCUUGGGGCAGUUUAGUUUUGAUUAAUUUGCCCGUCUGCCUGGCUGCGCCUGUCAAACGAGGUGCUUCAGUUGGCCGCUCCGCUUUUGGCCAUAAAAUAGGCAUAAAAACAGGAUCAUUGUUAUAUUAUGUGAUUUCGAGCAGAAAUUUCAGAUGGAAAGGCACAGGUGAAUGGACUGCCUGCCAUUCUUCUGUGGACCAAAUCAAUGCAGAUAGAUGCACAUUUCCCGUAUAAUUCCAAAUCGAAGCUCCAGUUUUUUGAGAUGAUGUUACUGGAUUGCAAAUUGAAGUGCCCCGUCCACUUUUUCGCUCCUCUGCAACGACUGGCGGGCAAACCGCAG
Long non-coding RNA from Drosophila teissieri, 448 nucleotides. RefSeq lists it as uncharacterized. The transcript is spliced from 3 exons. Lineage: Eukaryota; Metazoa; Arthropoda; Insecta; Diptera; Drosophilidae. The record is from RefSeq and is a predicted model, not a curated record.